Long non-coding RNA from Ictalurus punctatus (channel catfish), 1084 nucleotides. Lineage: Eukaryota; Metazoa; Chordata; Actinopteri; Siluriformes; Ictaluridae. The record is from Ensembl.
AAUGGCUUUACGACACACCCUACAAUAUGUAUGCUUUAUGUUUAAAAGUAGGGUCAGUUAUGCAGAAGUCUCUAAGAUCUCGGCUGUGUAACAGAGUGCUGUGUAAUUUUAGGCGAAUCAUCGAUUCUUGUUUUUAACUCACCGCUAAAGCUUUAUGUUUUAUUUUGGAAAAUACUUCAAAGAGGAGAUGGCCGUCUAUCGUAACAGUAAGUGUUUUGUCUUAUUUUAUUUUAUUUUAUUAUUAUUAUUAUUAUUUUUUUUUUAUUAUUACACACUGUUAAGAAUGUUUUUAUUUAUAAACAAAUUUAUGGGUUUAUUGUGGUGUAUAAAAUAGGCUUGUCAAAUCUUGUAAACAAGAUCACUGCACCCGAGUUCAAAAAUAGUGCUGCGGUUUCUACUGAACGCCGUAUACCAACGAGCUCUGGAAAGGCCAAGCGUGAAACAGUUGCUCAGGUCCACAGCAUGGGUGUCGCAACGUCUAAACGUAAACGUUCAAAAUCUCCCCCACGCUCGACAGACAAGCCAGUUGUGAAUAAACCAUGCACUAUAGACUCUUGUUUGAACUGGAAUUUGGUUGUGUGUCGCCAGCUAUUAUAGACAAUAACAGAGACUCGAUGGAGGUGAUACGAACCGGGUUCAAGGCCAUCGAGGAUCGUAUUGCUGGAUUUGAAAAGACUUUUGCUAGCAUCGCCGAACGUCUGACAUUAUAGAGAAGAAUCAACGUCUUUAUAAUCAAAGUGUUGUGGAAGCAUUACAAAACCAUACCAUCACACAUAAACAUAUCAUAGCAACCCAGAAACUCCUUUCUGGGGGGGAUUUAUCGCGUUGAUCACAACCAAUACCUGACGACGGAUUUGUUAAAACAGCUUGUACAAUUGGUUAAAAACAAGAAGCUCGGAGCUGGUUGGUGUCUUCUUGUGCUUGUGUUUUACAACUGACGAUUUCUUGGUGUUAUAUUUUCUUUUCUUCAUCGUUUGGCCACUCCUCCGAGCUCCUGGCGGUUUAGAUGCACUUCUGCGAGCCAUCACCAUUAGUCCGGAUCCUUCUUGAGUGUUAUUAUUGUUGUUAUUAUUAUUAUUAAUGC